This 231-nucleotide ribosomal RNA is filed under the name uncultured bacterium. RNAcentral's name for it is "partial 16S ribosomal RNA". It matches the Rfam family "Bacterial small subunit ribosomal RNA", at positions 118 to 347 of the family's 1533-position model. The record is from RNAcentral.
UGAGGAACAUGACCUUCGGCGGGGGAUAGCCGGCCCAACGGCCGGGUAAUACCGCGUACGACCACAUGGGGACAUCCCUGAGUGGUGAAAGCAGCAAUGCGCCGAUGGAGUGCCUCGCGGCCUAUCAGCUAGUUGGUGAGGUAACGGCUCACCAAGGCGACGACGGGUAGCUGGUCUGAGAGGAUGGCCAGCCACAUUGGGACUGAGACACGGCCCAGACCUCUACGGGAG